RNAcentral lists this ribosomal RNA (253 nucleotides) under uncultured bacterium. RNAcentral describes it as "partial 16S ribosomal RNA". It matches the Rfam family "Bacterial small subunit ribosomal RNA", at positions 524 to 776 of the family's 1533-position model. The record is from RNAcentral.
UACGUAGGGGGCUAGCGUUGUCCGGAAUCAUUGGGCGUAAAGAGCGUGUAGGCGGCCCGGUAAGUCCGCUGUGAAAGUCGGGGGCUCAACCCUCGAAUGCCGGUGGAUACUGUCGGGCUAGAGUGCGGAAGAGGCGAGUGGAAUUCCUGGUGUAGCGGUGAAAUGCGUAGAUAUCAAGCGGAACACCAGUGGCGAAGGCGAGUCCCUGGACAACUCCUGACACUGAGGCACGAAAGCUAGGGGAGCAAACAGG